RNAcentral lists this ribosomal RNA (925 nucleotides) under uncultured bacterium. Its description in RNAcentral is "bacterial SSU rRNA". It matches the Rfam family "Bacterial small subunit ribosomal RNA", at positions 8 to 916 of the family's 1533-position model. The record is from RNAcentral.
AGAGUUUGAUCCUGGCUCAGAACGAACGCUGGCGGCGUGGAUUAGGCAUGCAAGUCGUACGCGAAAGAGGGGGCAACCCCUCGAGUAGAGUGGCGAACGGGUGAGUAACGCGUGAAGAACCUGCCUUCAACAGGGGGAUAACACUCCCAACGGGGUGCUAAUACCGCAUGAGACCACGGGUCUGCAUGGACCUGAGGUCAAAGGUGGCCUCUGCUUGCAAGCUACCGGUUGAAGAUGGCUUCGCGUCCCAUUAGCUAGUUGGCGGGGUAACGGCCCACCAAGGCGACGAUGGGUAGCUGGUCUGAGAGGAUGGUCAGCCACACUGGGACUGAGACACGGGCCCGACUCCUACGGGAGGCAGCAGUAAGGAAUAUUGGGCAAUGGAGGCAACUCUGACCCAGCCAUGCCGCGUGGAGGAUGAAGGCCCUCUGGGUUGUAAACUUCUUUUAUCUGGGAAGAAACCCCUUGAUUCUUCGAGGGUUGACGGUACCAGAGGAAUAAGCACCGGCUAACUCCGUGCCAGCAGCCGCGGUAAUACGGAGGGUGCAAGCGUUAUCCGGAUUCACUGGGUUUAAAGGGUGCGUAGGCGGGCAGGUAAGUCAGUGGUGAAAUCUCCGGGCUUAACUCGGAAAUUGCCGUUGAUACUCUCUGUCUUGAAUUCUGUGGAGGUGAGCGGAAUAUGUCAUGUAGCGGUGAAAUGCUUAGAUAUGACAUAGAACACCAAUUGCGAAGGCAGCUCACUACACAGCGAUUGACGCUGAGGCACGAAAGCGUGGGGAUCAAACAGGAUUAGAUACCCUGGUAGUCCACGCCCUAAACUAUGGAUACUCGACAUACGCGAUAUACAGUGUGUGUCUGAGCGAAAGCAUUAAGUAUCCCACCUGGGAAGUACGACCGCAAGGUUGAAACUCAAAGGAAUUGACGG